RNAcentral lists this ribosomal RNA (608 nucleotides) under uncultured bacterium. Its description in RNAcentral is "bacterial SSU rRNA". It matches the Rfam family "Bacterial small subunit ribosomal RNA", at positions 8 to 603 of the family's 1533-position model. The record is from RNAcentral.
AGAGUUUGAUCCUGGCUCAGGAUGAACGCUAGCUACAGGCUUAACACAUGCAAGUCGAGGGGAAACGACAUCGAAAGCUUGCUUUUGAUGGGCGUCGACCGGCGCACGGGUGAGUAACGCGUAUCCAACCUGCCCACCACUUGGGGAUAACCUUGCGAAAGUAAGACUAAUACCCAAUGAUAUCUCUAGAAGACAUCUGAAAGAGAUUAAAGAUUUAUCGGUGAUGGAUGGGGAUGCGUCUGAUUAGCUUGUUGGCGGGGUAACGGCCCACCAAGGCGACGAUCAAUAGGGGUUCUGAGAGGAAGGUCCCCCACAUUGGAACUGAGACACGGUCCAAACUCCUACGGGAGGCAGCAGUGAGGAAUAUUGGUCAAUGGACGAGAGUCUGAACCAGCCAAGUAGCGUGCAGGAUGACGGCCCUAUGGGUUGUAAACUGCUUUUAUAAAGGAAUAAAGUGAGUCUCGUGAGACUUUUUGCAUGUACCUUAUGAAUAAGGACCGGCUAAUUCCGUGCCAGCAGCCGCCGUAAUACGGAAGGUCCGGGCGUUAUCCCGAUUUAUUGGGUUUAAAGGGAGCGUACGCCCGAGAUUAAGCGUGUUGUGAAAUGUA